GNCCAGAGCUUGAUUCUGGCUUCAGAUUCAACGCUGUUGGCAGGCCUAACACCUUCAAGUCGAGCGGAUGAAGAGAGCUUGCUCUCUGAUUCAGCGGCAGGGCGUAUGAGUAAUGCCUAGGAAUGUGCAUGAUAGUGGGGGACAAUGUUGUGAACUGCACGCUAAUACCGCAUUCGUCAUACGGGAGAAAGCAGGAGACCUUCUGGCCUUGCGGAUCAGAUGGGACUAGUUCGGAUUAGCUAGUUGGUGAGGUAAUGGCUCCCCAAUGCGACGAUCAAUAGCUGGUCAGAGAGGAUGAUCAGUCACACUGGAAGUGAGACACGGUCCAGACUAAUUUGGGAGGCAGCAGUGAGGAAUAUUGGACAAUGGGCGAAAGCAUGAUCCAGACAUCCCGCGUGUGUGAGGAAGGUCUUCGGAUAAUAAAGCACUUUAAGUUGGGAGGAGGGGCAUUAACCUAAUACGUUAGUGUUUUGACGUUACCGACAGAAUAAGCACCGGCUAAAUUCGUGCCAGCAGCCGCGGUAAUAAGAAGGGGGCAAGCGUUAAUCGGAAAUACUGGGGGUAAAGCGCGCGUAGGUGGUUUGUUAAGUUGAAUGUGAAAGCCCCGGGCUCAACCUGGGAACUGCAUCCAAAACUGGCAAGCUAGAGUAUGGCAGAGGGUGGUGGAAUUUCCUGUGUAGCGGUGAAAUGCGUAGAUAUAGGAAGGAACACCAGUGGCGAAGGCGACCACCUGGGCUAAUACUGACACUGAGGUGCGAAAGCGUGGGGAGCAAACAGGAUUAGAUACCCUGGUAGUCCACGCCGUAAACGAUGUCGACUAGCCGUUGGGAUCCUUGAGAUCUUAGUGGCGCAGCUAACGCAUUAAGUCGACCGCNNNGAANUNNCUNUNGNANNNNG
RNAcentral lists this ribosomal RNA (897 nucleotides) under Stutzerimonas stutzeri. Its description in RNAcentral is "bacterial SSU rRNA". It matches the Rfam family "Bacterial small subunit ribosomal RNA", at positions 9 to 873 of the family's 1533-position model. The record is from RNAcentral. Lineage: Bacteria; Pseudomonadati; Pseudomonadota; Gammaproteobacteria; Pseudomonadales; Pseudomonadaceae.